UACGGAGGGGGCUAGCGUUGUCCGGAAUCCUUGGGCGUAAAGCGCGUGUAGGCGGUCCGGUAAGUCCGCUGUGAAAGUCGGGGGCUCAACCCUCGGAUGCCGGUGGAUACUGUCGGGCUUGAGUACGGAAGAGGCGAGUGGAAUUCCUGGUGUAGCGGUGAAAUGCGCAGAUAUCAGGAGGAACACCAAUUGCGAAGGCAGCUCGCUGGGACGUUACUGACGCUGAGACGCGAAAGCGUGGGGAGCAAACAGG
RNAcentral lists this ribosomal RNA (253 nucleotides) under uncultured bacterium. RNAcentral describes it as "partial 16S ribosomal RNA". It matches the Rfam family "Bacterial small subunit ribosomal RNA", at positions 524 to 776 of the family's 1533-position model. The record is from RNAcentral.